This is a long non-coding RNA of Bombus impatiens (common eastern bumble bee), 1447 nucleotides long. RefSeq lists it as uncharacterized. The record is from RefSeq and is a predicted model, not a curated record. The transcript has 2 exons. Lineage: Eukaryota; Metazoa; Arthropoda; Insecta; Hymenoptera; Apidae.
GACAAACAAUUCGAAACGAAGAUCUUGGACGAGACCUCUUCCGUCGAAUCAGCCGACAACACGAAUAGCUUCUCAUACUUUCAGCCGGAAAAUCGAAGUGAGAAAAGAUUCUCGGCCUCGUUAAGUUCAAGAUGGAACGAUGGUGCUGUUAAUUUUUUUAAAAGCUAGAUAGCUGGGGCACAUCAGAAUAAUUUGCUUGAGUUCAAUGACCGAGAUAUAUUUUUGUAGAAUUAUUUGGUUUACUUUUGGAGUAUCAUAUGUUAGAGAAUAAUUCCUAGAGAAUAUUUCCUACUAAAUUAAGGAAAUGUUUUCCCCAGACAGAUAAAAUAUACAAAAAGGGUGAAAAUAAUUUCUAAAUUAGAAAACUAGAAUUAGUAUAUGAAUAGGGAGACAGAGCGAGAGACGCACGAGAAGAUUGGCAGAGAAUCGUAAGAGACAGAAUAUUAAGAAUUAACAUUUAUGAUGAAAUGAAAGAAAUGCGUGCUGAUUUAAGUAGGAGUAAACGUUAAUAAUUAUGAAAAUAAAUCGAAUUAAAGUGAGUAUCAUUGUGGUUUAGAGGAUAAAAGAAUAUCGUAAGUUAUUAUCUUACAAAUUUGAAAAUCACGGAUUAUGUAUCAUGUCAGUUAUAAAAUAUUGUAUAAUGAUAUUUUAUAUCCUAUUGUUUGUAAAGCGGAUUAAAUUCGUAUAAAUGUAAUAUGUUAUUCAUCGCAUAUGUUUCAUCGAGAUUGAUGGUAGUAGAGGAUUAUUAAUUUCAUGAAUGAAAUAUUGGGAAAUUGAAACAGUCUAAUAAGAGUGUGUAGAUAUAUGUAUCAGAGGAAUGUAUGAUUCAGUAAACCGAAUCAUCUUCAUGGCCGGCAGACUGAAAAAUAAAGUAUUAACACUACUUGUUAACAAAUACCUGUUAAUGAUAUCUAAAAUUAUUGUAAUUUUUUCCAUAGAAUAUUAGUAGAAUUUUUCUUAUACAGGUUGUGAAUGUACGUCAUGAAUGGUUUCGAAUUAAAUCGAUAAUUGUGAUGAGUGAUUGUAUUCAGCUUUGUUUCAAAUAUCAAUGUAAUUAUGAUUUGCAUGUCUCAUUACAAUGCGAAUGAAAUUUUAACAUGUAUCGCACACCUAUACCUUUAUCGGAGAAAUAUAAUAUAUUAUAUAUGUAUAUAUAUAUUGAGUGAUCAUUUACAUUUUCGUAGUAUGAUAUGAAACAAGCUGGUUCUUUAUUUUUUAAGUACCAGACAGAAGAACGUUGAACUGGCGUUAUUAGGUAGAAGAAAUCAGACUCGAAGGAAACGAAGAAGCGCAAUAAAAGGCGAUCCACGUCUGAGCAAAGUACGGGAAAACUCUUAGUUCCCGACAUCGCGUUUCCUUUUCCCGAGUUCUGUUAAUGAGUUUAAAGCGAUCGAACGGAAUUAAAUCUAAUUAAGCAGAAAGGAGAAAAUAUGAAUGGCACUUUGAU